This 8085-nucleotide long non-coding RNA is filed under the name Ananas comosus (pineapple). RNAcentral's name for it is "long non-coding RNA (ACOM_LNC043751)". The record is from RNAcentral. Lineage: Eukaryota; Viridiplantae; Streptophyta; Magnoliopsida; Poales; Bromeliaceae.
CAUAGAUCGAGUGGCAUUCGAUAAAGUUAAAGUGAAAUGACACUAGAGAUAGUGUGAGGUAAAGAACCAAUGUAAUGUAAAGAAUGAUGAAAAUGAUAAUGUUUAAAGUUAAAGUAAUGUGGGGAGUAAAGAACAUGAAGUGCUAGAGGUAGCCAAAAGUAAAGAAUGUAAAGAAUAUGAUUGCUAGAGUAGCAAGAGUAAAGAAAUGAAAAGAAUAAGAGAUGCUAGAGAUAGCAAAAGUAAAGAAUUGUAAAGAAUGUGUUUACAUGAGUUUGCAACAAAAAGUGAUGAAAGAACACUAGAGCUAGUGUAAAGUCAAGAUUGAACUUAUAAAUCCUUUGAGUUAAGGAUAUGAUCAUACUUGCUAUGAGUUCCGUGCUCGAGGGCGGUCGCUCCCCCUCGGGCGAUGCGCUCCGGAGUUAUGCAUCACGGGUUGCAGUAAACCCGACGGACGGUCCUAGCGCGUGAGUUCCUGCGAUGAUGGACUUAAUGUGAAGCAAGUCAAUGUGGCGGUACCUGGUUACCUGAGAUAAAGAACAUAAGAGUAAAAUAACAAAGUGCAAAGAAACAAAGAAAAAGUAACAAAAUAAAGUGAAAAGACUAAAGAAUUGCAUAAUCUCAUUAUUAAUGUUGAGGCAUAUUUCUGCUUAUGUUCAGCAUAUUAGCAAUCAUAUAUAGAUUCGGUUACUAUAAAUACAGCUUAUCCUUUCUAUUAUGCCGGAGUUAGUCUAAGUGCGAAAUCAUUGAUGUUUAGCGACCCACUGGAAAAAUUGUUGGUAGUCUCACCCCCACUAUUUCCACAGAGCACGGGACGGGGGAGCAGACCGGCGAGCAGAAUCCAGAAGAUAAAGGUAUGCGCCUUAGCAAGCACCAGAUUGUACAUUUGUAUAGUUACCCUUUAUCAUCUGUUGUACUUCUGAUGUUAUGUGAUGUUAAAAAAAGAUGAAAUGUGUAUUUAGGUAAAGAGAGGAGAGAGAGAAUGAAGACGAAGAUGUAAGGAGCGAGGAGCGAAGAGAGAGAGUGCAGAGUGAGGAGUGGAGGAUAAGAAGGAAGCGACUAGACAGGGAUGAAUGUUACUUUUCUUUUUCGGUGGGUCACUCCGGCUAAUGGCUUACCCUCCGUGUAAGCAGUAUUGUAUGUUUUCCGCUAGUGUCAACUCUGUUGAAAUUGUACAUUGAGACCUUGGCGGACAAGGGAAACCGUCCGUCGCGUCUGUUCGACACGUCAGCGCCGGCCAUAAUGAUCGUCGCCGGGGGUGCGGGGGCUGACAGAUACGGGGUAAUAAGCCCAAAGUGAAAAAAUAGAUGGCCUAUAGACCCUUAGGAAUUGGAAAGUCUUAGAUCUAGGAAACGUGAGUGACGUGGGAUCAAAGUUAGCGAAAGCAUAUGAUUGGGUUAAGUUGGGAUGUCUCUAAUGUGAUUAGAGGCUAAGUUUAAUUUUCGUUUAUCCUCUACUUUUAGUGUUAUGUCGGGCGGCCGACGACAUGACGCUUGAGGCAAGGAUGAAUGUGCAUGUUGCUUUCGCCUAAUUGGGUAUGGUCGAGUAAUGUUGGUCAAGUGACUAAUGCGAGUUGCUUCUUUUCAGGAAGCAACGGCAUCUCGACGUCGAUCGCAGACAAGGUCGAUGCCGGAGGAAACGAAUGCGGUGCCCGAGCAAUCCGGAGAGAGUGGUGACGGAGAGCUUAGAGAGCCGCGCUUAUUGGCAUAGUGCGGCAGCAAGCGGAGUCUGUUCAACGCCAAGGGGAGCAGAUUCAACGGCUCCAGGAGGCCUUGGAGCGUCAACAGUUGGCGGCGGCCCAAGUGGGCGUUGAGCCACCUGUGCCCCUUGCGGAGGUGCCGAGGGCAGUCGAGUGAGCGGCGACAGCAGCGGCUGCGCCAGUCACGCUAGUACCGGCCGGAUCGGGAAUCUCAAACCCCGAUAGCGCGGCGGUAGAAGCGGAGCGAGAGCGCACGUUGGCGGCUCUCAUUCAGUUCAAGAAGUUCGAUCCACCUACCUUUGAAGGCGGAUUGGUGGAGCCAGCAGUCGUGGAGUCGUGGAUCGACUCAAUGGAAACACUCUUCGAGGACUUGAAUACCUCAGAGAAAGACAAGGUGUACCUCGCCACCUAUUGUCUAGGAAAGGCGGCGAUGGUGUGGUGGAAGGGAGUUAAGCGGGAUCGACCUACCGAUCUCCCGCUCAUGCUUUGAGAAGAGUUCAAGAGAGCGGUAUUCGCGAACUACUUCCCCAACACGGUGAAGCGGAAGUUACAAGAAAGGUUCCGCAAGUUGAGACAGGGCGAUCGAUCGGUGGGAGAGUAUGAGCAAGAAUUCUCUCACAUCAUCGACUGUGUUCCCGACGUUGUUCGUGAUGAUCGGGACCGGACGGAUUGGUUCUUACGAGGACUCCAACCCCGGAUUUAUGAGAAGGUGCAAAUUUUGAAGCUGUCGACCUUUGCGGAGGUCUUUGAUAGAGCUUUGUGGGCGGAGCACGGUAGCGCCCACGUACGCGAGGAACGAGAAGCUAUGGUCGAGUCUAAAGACAAGGGCAAGAAAAGAAUGGCGGGCGGUGCCGGGGGCCGACCAAAUGCUAAGAAACCCCCUAGGUAUCCCCGACAGCAGGCGAGGAAUUGGAGACCACCUCGAUAUGUUAUUUGUGGUGGUGAGCACAUGGUGUCGACUUGCUCGCAGCGCGACGGCAAGUGUUUCAAGUGCGGCCAACUGGGACAUCUUAUCCGGGAGUGCCCAACAUGGACGUCGUCUGCGCCGACGGCGGCAUCAGCACCAUCUACCUCGAGACAGCUUGCAGGGUUAGCACUAGCAAUGUCGACUGGGCGCGCGUCAGCACCACGUCAGCCGGAGGGAUCGAGAGCGCCUAGCGGCCGAGUCUUUGCCGCUCAGGUGGAUGAGCAACAACCUGCAGUACCCGACAACGUCGUGGCAGGUAUAAUUAUGAUUAAAGGCACUAGAGCUAGAGCAGUGUUUGAUACAGGCGCAUCUCAUUCGUUUAUUAGCACAUCAUUUGCUAAGACACAUGGCAUAGAGAUGGUGUACAAUGAGGAUUACUGGUGGGUGAACGCCCCAGAACAUUUAUUCAGUGUUCACAACGAGUGUUUCGCGUCUCCAGUGCAAAUAAACGAUUGGAUUAUGCUGAUUGAUCUGCUAGUGCUAGAUCAGAUGUGGGGAUUCGAUGUUAUCUUGGGGACCAACUGGCUCUCCAAGUACUAUGCGGUGAUAGAUUGUGAAAGCAAGGUGAUCACUUUUCGUGAGCCUAAUCAAGAAGAGUUAGUCUACCAAGCGUGCAAAAGUAGGCGUUUUGCGGCGACUAUAUCGUCUGUGAGGGCGAAGAGAAUGAUCAAAGGAGGGUGUAAGGCCUAUUUGGCAACCAUGGUAGAUGCUCGAAAGGAGUACCCAGAGUUGGGGGAUAUUCGAGUAGUGUGCGAGUACCCGGAUGUAUUUCCAGCAGAAUUACCGGGACUGCCACCGGACCGGGAAGUUGAGUUUGUCAUUGACUUGAUUCCCGGGGCGGAACCAGUUUCGAAGGCUCCGUAUAGAAUGGCACCGGUGGAGCUAAAGGAGCUAAAAGGUCAAUUACAAGACUUGCUCGAUAAGGGCUUCGUGAGGCCGAGUGUGUCACCGUGGGGAGCUCCGGUGCUAUUUGUGAAGAAAAAGGAUGGCACACUUCGACUCUGCGUAGAUUAUCGCGAGUUGAACAAAGUAACGAUAAAGAACAAGUACCCGUUGCCAAGGAUUGACGAUCUAUUCGAUCAGUUGCAAGGGUCCAAGGUGUAUUCGAAGAUUGAUCUCCAAUCGGGGUAUCAUCAAUUAAAGAUCAGGCCGAAGGAUGUGCACAAAACGGCGUACCGUACGCGGUAUGGCCAUUAUGAGUUCACGGUAAUGCCGUUUGGGCUUACUAAUGCCCCGGCAGCAUUUAUGGACUUGAUGAAUCGAGUCUUUAGGCCGUUGUUGGAUCGAUGCGUCGUGGUGUUUAUAGACGACGUGUUGGUCUAUUCGAAGAGCGAAGAGGAGCAUGAAGAGCAUCUGAGAGCUGUGUUGCAAAUACUCAGACAAGAGAAGCUCUAUGCAAAGUUAAAGAAAUGUGACUUUUGGCUAAAGGAGGUCACAUUCUUGGGUCAUGUGGUAUCGGGCGACGGAGUUUCGGUAGACCCGAAGAAAGUAGAGGCGAUCAAGGAUUGGCCUCGCCCGACGAAUGUAGCGGAGAUCCGCAGUUUUCUUGGACUGGCGGGCUACUACCGGCGGUUCGUGGAGGGGUUCGCCAAAAUAACCACUCCACUAACGCGCCUCACGCAUAAAGGAGUAAAGUACGUGUGGAGCGACGAUUGCGAUCGAAGCUUCGAGGAGUUAAAGAACAGGUUGACGUCGACCCCGGUGCUUGCCUUGCCGACUCCGGGAGAGACCUUUGUAGUGUACAGUGAUGCCUCGUAUGUUGGUCUCGGGUGUGUAUUAAUGCAGAAUGGGCGGGUUAUUGCUUAUGCAUCGCGCCAGUUAAAGAGUUAUGAGAAGAACUACCCGAUUCACGACCUUGAGUUAGCCGCGGUGAUUUUCGCGCUAAAGAUUUGGAGGCAUUACUUAUAUGGUGAACAUUGUGAAGUGUACACAGAUUAUAAAAGUCUAAAGUACUUGUUCACCCAGAAGGAAUUGAACAUGCGGCAGCGGCGGUGGUUGGAAUUGUUGAAGGACUACGAUGUCACUAUACUUUACCACCCCGGGAAAGCCAAUGUCGUGGCCGAUGCUCUAAGUAGAAAAUCGACGGAGAACUUGGCGAUGGCAGUUACACCUCAACCGCUGUUACAUAAGGAAAUGCAAAGAUUUGGGUUGGAAGUGGUAGCGCCGGGAGUGCCGGCUACGCUUACCGCACUAGUUGUGCAACCGACCCUAUUGGAAAGGAUCAAGAAUUUUCAAGCUUCAGAUCCUUAUUUUCAAAAGGUGCGGAGUGAAGUUGAGAGCGGUAGUGCCGAAGAUUUUGGCAUUGGAGCUGAUGGCGCACUUCGAUUUCGAAAUCGUUUGUGCAUGCCCAAAGAUGACGAGUUGCGAAGGGUGAUCAUGCGAGAAGCGCACCAAUCCCCUUAUAGCAUACACCCCGGUGGCACUAAAAUGUACAAAGAUUUAAGAGAACAUUAUUGGUGGCCGGGUAUGAAAAGAGAUAUUGGGGAGUUCGUGGCGCAAUGUUUAACGUGCCAACAAGUUAAAGCAGAGUGCCGAUUUUCGGCGGGAAAGCUACAAAGUCUACCAAUACCCGUGUGGAAAUGGGAAGACAUAGCAAUGGACUUUGUUACCGGUUUGCCUCGAUCACAAGGCGGACACGAUGCGAUAUGGGUGAUAGUGGAUCGAUUGACAAAGUCGGCACACUUCUUGCCGAUACAUACUACGUGGUCGGGAGACAAGUUAGCUCAAGUCUACCUCGACGAGGUUGUGAGACUUCAUGGGGUUCCAGGCUCGACUUUAGCACAGCGUUUCAUCCCUAGAGCGAUGGACAGUCAGAGCGGACAAUACAAAUCCUCGAGGACUUGCUUCGAGCGUGUGUGCUAGAUUACAAAGGAGGAUGGUAUGAUUUCUUGCCUAUGGCGGAGUUCGCCUACAAUAAUAGCUACCAGGAAAGCAUAGCGAUGGCGCCUUUUGAGGCACUAUAUGGACGUAAAUGUCGUUCUCCUAUCCAUUGGAGCGACGUGGGCGAGAGAACGGCUAUUGGCCCAGAUGUAGUGCGGGAGGCAGAAGAGAAAGUUCGCCUUGCUCGUCAACGGUUGGCGAUGGCGCAAUCUCGGCAAAAGAGUUAUGCCGACAAGCGAAGAAAGGAUUUAGAGUUCGCGGUUGGAGACCGUGUAUUUUUGAGAGUAUCGCCGAUGCGAGGAGUCAAACGAUUUGGAGUCCGUGGGAAGUUAAGCCCCCGAUACGUCGGACCGUUUGAGAUAUUAGAGCGUGUGGGUGCGGUGGCGUACAAGCUCGCAUUACCACCGAGACUCGCGGGAGUUCACAAUAUUUUCCAUGUGUCAAAUCAUCGAAAGUACAUUCGCAAUUCGACACAUGUGUUGGAGUACGAGCCCAUGGAGCUACGUGAGGACAUGUCCUAUGAGGAGUACCCCGUGUGCAUUCUCGAUAGAGAAGUGAGGAAGUUGCGAAGUCGCAAGAUUCCGUACCUUAAGGUCCAAUGGAGCAACCAUGCUGUGCGAGAAGCCACUUGGGAGCUCGAGAAAACCAUGCGGAGAGAGUAUCCGCAUCUAUUUGAAUCGACAAGUUAAGGUAUGCAUAAUUUCGCGUACGAAAUUAUUUUAAAGGGUGGAGAAUGUAAUAUACCGAGAAUUCAAAAAAUAAAUAUCGAACUUUAGUCAAAUUGACCAAAAUGCGAGGAUGGUACACUUCGGAAAGUUCGAAGGUGUUAAAAUGAUCAAAAGUGAGUUACGGGAGGUUCUCGAGAGCUAAAGGAUCAAAAUCUGCAUUCUGCAGUUUUGAGCUCUCGGGGACCGGUCCCUGGUGGGAGAGACCGGUCCCCGAAUGGGUAUGAAUUGAGACAGCCGAGAAAUCGGCCAAGUCCUUGGGAAUCAGCUCUCGGGAACCGGCCCCUCCUCGAGAGACCGGUCCCCCAGAGACCGGUCCCACCAGAGAGAGACCGGUCGCAUCGCGCGCAGCAGCUCUGGCUGCGCAGGGUGGACCUUCGGGAACCGGUCCCUGAAGGAGAGACCGUCCUGCGUGGCGUAGAAGCAGCCCAGUCCAGGCUGUGUGAAAGAGUAAAAGUGAGGGGCUCUGGCUGCAAUUAUUGCAACCCAAUGGCUAUGUUAUGAGGGCUAAUGAAGAUUCUUCUCACUCAUUUCCGUAUCUCACCCUCCUUCAACUCUUCCUCUCUCCCUGGCCUCUCUCUCUCUAGAAGCAAGGAAAGAAAAGAAAAUAAAGAAGAAAAGAAGGUGAGAAAAAAUCAAUAGUGAGCCUGACCUCUUCUUCUCUCUUGGAGAACUUAAGGAACAGCUUUGAAGGUAUAGCUGUUUUUUUUUUUUUCUUUUCUUUUUUUUGAAUCGCCUAGUAUAGUAAAACCCUAGAAUGAGUUUUGAAUGACCUAGAAAUGGGUUUUAAUGGAAUGUUUGAAGAGUUUUGAAGCUUUCUUUUGCUUCUUUAGAGAUCAAAACCUAGAAAAGCUCAAAGGUGAGCUUUAACCCACCUCUCAUGGUGAAAUCCAAACUAGAGUUUGGAGUGAGCUAAGAAUGGUUCUAAUGGAUUUUUUAGAGUAUAAUGAAGCUACUUUUGCUUCCCAAUGUGAUCAAACCCUAGGUUUGAUGAUGCUUUGGAACUAGGGCUCCCAAAUUGGGGCUUUUGCUCAUGAGGGUUUCUAAGUGAAAUUGACCCUCCAAAAAUCUAAUUGGGGACCCAACGAACACGUUGGUGCGCUCGGUUGGAGUAUACGAAAAGACAAUAAAAAGUUAUGUGCAAAAUGGCCUGAUAGGGCUUUAUUUUGCCGCAGGUAAAGAACGAAGGACCUAAAAAUCCCACGUAAAUUAUCGGAGCACCUUUGAAAGCCUACGAGGUGGGUGGUGCUUCUAAAACUUAUUGAACUUCUUUCUAUGCCUAAUGUGUCAUUCAUUUGAGCAUGUGUAUAUAUAUUGUUACAUGCAUUUUAGGGUAAAGUGAUAAUGAAAAUGUGAUGAUGCAUGAUUGUGAAUACAACUUGCAUAAUAUAAUGAAUGAGAACUAUGUGAACGUCGAAAACCCUAUGUGUAUGCAUGAGAGAAAAGUGAGCACCCAAAGUGAGCAAAAGAAUAGAGUGACACAAUGACAUAGAUCGAGUGGCAUUCGGUAAAGUUAAAGUGAAAUGACACUAGAGAUAGUGUGAGGUAAAGAACCAAUGUAAUGUAAAGAAUGAUGAAAAUGAUAAUGUUUAAAGUUAAAGUAAUGUGGGGAGUAAAGAACGUGAAGUGCUAGAGGUAGCCAAAAGUAAAGAAUGUAAAGAAUAUGAUUGCUAGAGUAGCAAGAGUAAAGAAAUGAAAAGAAUAAGAGAUGCUAGAGAUAGCAAAAGUAAAGAAUUGUAAAGAAUGUGUUUACAUGAGUUUGCAACAAAAAGUGAUGAAAGAACACUAGAGCUAGUGUAAAGUCAAGAUUGAACUUA